Molecule: ribosomal RNA, 315 nt
Filed under: Triticum aestivum (bread wheat)
Lineage: Eukaryota; Viridiplantae; Streptophyta; Magnoliopsida; Poales; Poaceae
Description: partial small subunit ribosomal RNA
Source: RNAcentral
AUGACACCACCUGUGAAGAAUAGGAACCCCAGAUCAAAUUCCUCAUAUGGAUCAAAGUCCUCAUGUGAACAUCAUCGUGCUAACACCUCUGUUUCGCAGGGAAAAACUAAGGGCUGUGAAUAUGUGCAUUAUUCUUCAAACCAUUAUGUUCAUAAGUCCUCGAAGAAUUUCUCUGCUUAUUCAUAUGCGUACCCUAACCCCUCUUAUGUGAAACGAAGUGGAUUGGCAUCUAUGCCACCUUUCUUUUAUGGAGCUCGCAGAAUGAUGAACUCUUUGCCACCCCUCCAGAUGUGGGUGGUGAAGAAAAAUAACUAA